GUCCCUUCUGUGAAGACGUACAAAGUGCCCGAGAUGAAGGUUCACCGUGCUUACUUGCAAGGACCAUUCGAGCUGUACUUCCUCUGAGACAGAUGCUUUUCAUCCCUCUGGUAGAGGGCAAGAUGUGGCAAACUCCACAGACCCUCACACGCCUGUCAAAGCUCCUCCACAAAUUCCCAGCGCUGCUUUUCGCUUUAACGAGCAGAGACGUGGAGGGUUCCCAUAAAGAGGUCAGAGUAAAACUCAGAGAGAGUCCUUGCGUUUGUUUUUUCCAAUGUACAAAUAAAAGCGCUUAAAUAGUA
Echinops telfairi (small Madagascar hedgehog) is the source of this 302-nucleotide long non-coding RNA. RefSeq lists it as uncharacterized. The record is from RefSeq and is a predicted model, not a curated record. The transcript has 2 exons. Lineage: Eukaryota; Metazoa; Chordata; Mammalia; Afrosoricida; Tenrecidae.